Molecule: ribosomal RNA, 253 nt
Filed under: uncultured bacterium
Lineage: Bacteria
Description: partial 16S ribosomal RNA
Rfam family: Bacterial small subunit ribosomal RNA
Source: RNAcentral
UACGUAGGUGGCAAGCGUUAUCCGGAAUUAUUGGGCGUAAAGAGCGCGCAGGUGGUUAAUUAAGUCUGAUGUGAAAGCCCACGGCUUAACCGUGGAGGGUCAUUGGAAACUGGUUGACUUGAGUGCAGAAGAGGGAAGUGGAAUUCCAUGUGUAGCGGUGAAAUGCGUAGAGAUAUGGAGGAACACCAGUGGCGAAGGCGGCUUCCUGGUCUGCAACUGACGCUGAGGCGCGAAAGCGUGGGGAGCAAGCAGG